RNAcentral lists this ribosomal RNA (253 nucleotides) under uncultured bacterium. Its description in RNAcentral is "partial 16S ribosomal RNA". It matches the Rfam family "Bacterial small subunit ribosomal RNA", at positions 524 to 776 of the family's 1533-position model. The record is from RNAcentral.
UACGGAGGGUGCGAGCGUUGUCCGGAAUCACUGGGCGUAAAGGGCGCGUAGGCGGUGCGGUAAGUCACCUGUGAAAUCUCCUGGCUCAACUGGGAGCUUGCAGGCGAAACUGCCGUGCUGGAGUGUGGGAGAGGUGAGUGGAAUUCCCGGUGUAGCGGUGAAAUGCGUAGAUAUCAGGAGGAACACCGGUGGUGUAGACGGCUUUCUGGACCGUAACUGACGCUGAGACACGAAAGCGUGGGUAGCAAACAGG